GACGAACGCUGGCGGUGUGCUUAACACAUGCAAGUCGAACGGAAAGGCCCUGCUUUUGUGGGGUGCUCGAGUGGCGAACGGGUGAGUAACACGUGAGUAACCUGCUCUUGACUUUGGGAUAACUUCAGGUAACUGGGGCUAAUACCGGAUAGGAGCUCCUGCUGCAUGGUGGGGGUUGGAAAGUUUCGGCGGUUGGGGAUGGACUCGCGGCUUAUCAGCUUGCUGGUGGGGUAGUGGCUUACCAAGGCUUUGACGGGUAGCCGGCCUGAGAGGGUGACCGGCGACAUUAGGACUGAGAUACGGCCCAGACUCCAACGGGGGGCAACGGGGGGAAGUAUUACACAAUGGGCGGGAGCCUGAGGCAGCGGCGCCGCGUGCGGGAUGACGGCCUUCGGGUUAUAAACCGCUUUCGCCUGUGACGAAGCGUGAGUGACGGUAAUGGGUGAAGAAGCACCGGCUAACUACGUG
This 468-nucleotide ribosomal RNA is filed under the name uncultured bacterium. Its description in RNAcentral is "partial 16S ribosomal RNA". It matches the Rfam family "Bacterial small subunit ribosomal RNA", at positions 28 to 507 of the family's 1533-position model. The record is from RNAcentral.